AUCUUCCUAGUACAACUUAAUACAUGUGACUUCCAAUCACACAACCCCAGUUAAAAUCCGGGGGAAGAUA
Molecule: transfer RNA, 70 nt
Filed under: Callopanchax toddi
Lineage: Eukaryota; Metazoa; Chordata; Actinopteri; Cyprinodontiformes; Nothobranchiidae
Description: tRNA-Gly
Rfam family: tRNA
About the family: Transfer RNA (tRNA) molecules are approximately 80 nucleotides in length. Their secondary structure includes four short double-helical elements and three loops (D, anti-codon, and T loops).
Source: RNAcentral